GGUGACGAUAACCGAGUGGUCUAAGGUGCAUGGCCUAUAGAGCACUCGGACUGACUCACCGGCUAGGCGUGGGUUCGAAUCCCAAGCUGGUAUUA
RNAcentral lists this transfer RNA (95 nucleotides) under Cotesia glomerata. Its description in RNAcentral is "tRNA-Pro". Lineage: Eukaryota; Metazoa; Arthropoda; Insecta; Hymenoptera; Braconidae. The record is from RNAcentral.